Molecule: long non-coding RNA, 1408 nt
Organism: Planococcus citri (citrus mealybug)
Lineage: Eukaryota; Metazoa; Arthropoda; Insecta; Hemiptera; Pseudococcidae
Exons: 2
Source: RefSeq, a predicted model, not a curated record
UAGCUCAUAACUGGGUUAGAUUUUAAAAUAUAGGAAAACGCAGGUCUGCAUGAAUUACGUAGUUCAAUGUUUAAAGAGAAGGGGAACAACACAGUAAUCAGUAACUUUUACGUAUCAUUUUAAUGACGCACACCUAGUUAUAAAUUUAGACGCUCUGCGCGUAAUACUUCUUAUCUCCACACUUGAAUUUCUGUGCCAGUUCACAAUCGUUGUGCAUAACCUACUGAUUAGCUGAACAAAUCUAUCAAAUUUGCACGUAAUUCCGCAACUGGUAUAAUAGUAAAAAAAAAUUGUUUUUCGAAAAAAAAGUUUUAUAAAUUAAAAUCCGCACAAAGGAUGAACGAAUACGCCAGCAGGUGUACGUACUUAGAGCAAAUCGAAACUAUGGAAAAUGAAACUCUAAGGUUACUGCGGUUUUACACAUCUUCCACUAUCAGCCUAGUUAUCAUAGGUUUGUACAAAUUUUACAACGCCAAAAAUCCGGUGAGUUGGUUGACAACGAACUUGCUUUUUGGGUGCUUUUUCUUUCUUUCGACGUACAUUUCUGCUCGAAUAUCGCAGGCUGCGAGCGAAAUGAAAUCAGAAGAUUUCCGCGACUGGUACUUCAAGCCCAUUUUUCUAAACUGUAUGAUGACAUUGACGUUCUGCAAGUUCGCUAAUGCUUUGGAAAUAACUUUCCGCGAUCGAAGAGUUUACCGAAACACAAAAUUCAUUACUUAUUGUUUAAUUCCCAGCUAUUCUCUAAUUUCUUACUGGUUCAAGGAUGAAAUAGAGAUCGUCGACUACGUUGAUCCAUUUACAAUGAUGAAAAUCGUUCGAAUCGCUUGUUUACUACUCACGAUCAUCGCGCUAAUAAAAAUUACAACGUACGGUGACUGUGAAGAUGACGAACGAAACGUCGAAAAGUUGACAGUUUAUACAGGCACAACUUUUAUGCUAAACCUGACAGAAGGAUUAUUUUUUUGGUUUCUUUUAAAAAUUACGAGUAGAUAUGCAUGCACAUGCACAUGCGCAGCAACAACACUUUCAUACCAACAGUAAUAUAGUUUUUAUGAAAUCUUCAUGCAUAUAAUUGUAUUUUUUUGUCAACAUUGAACGUGAUUAAAAAGAAAUUUCGUUUUAGUACUAUAAACAAAAUCCAAUUUUUUAAAAAAAUCUUCACGUUAACGUAACAUAUAGAAAAUGGUUUCAAAUAUGUACCUAAUUAAGCUCUCUUCAAUCUGAAAAAAUGCUUUCCUUUGUUUUUUUGUAUGUUCUUUCUUAUUAUAUGUAUGACCAAUAUUCCUGCAUGCAUAGUUCUUGGAUACUCUGUAAGAGUACAUAGAUACCUACAUAUAAUAAUAAGUUCAUAAGUCUGAUUGUUUGCACAUUUAUUUAAAAAAUAAAUUCAACAUGCUUAAUACAUCAA